CCUGAGGCACAGCCGUCGCUCGGGGAAGUCCGGUGAGAAUCCGGCGCUGUCCCGCAACUGUGAUUCGGCUUUCGCCGAUAAGCCAGGUCGCCGACGACGUGCUGCGCUCCAGUCCCCUUCGCGGAAAGGGAAAGGAGCCUU
This 141-nucleotide small RNA is filed under the name Ardenticatena maritima. The record is from RNAcentral. Lineage: Bacteria; Bacillati; Chloroflexota; Ardenticatenia; Ardenticatenales; Ardenticatenaceae.